RNAcentral lists this long non-coding RNA (488 nucleotides) under Salvia miltiorrhiza (redroot sage). RNAcentral describes it as "long non-coding RNA (SMIL_LNC006075)". The record is from RNAcentral. Lineage: Eukaryota; Viridiplantae; Streptophyta; Magnoliopsida; Lamiales; Lamiaceae.
UCCACGUACUUGGCAGAUCCAGUCUAUCUCAGGCUCCCAACCAUCAGCCAUUGCUGUACUAGUCAAUACAUGAAACUCCUUGGGGCCGAACUCACUUCCUGCCCACUUAUCCAAUAGAGCGUCCCACUCUUUCUUGAGGUAUAUCUACAGAUCAAAUAAGUAAUUAAUAAUUUAUAUCAGCACCAAUGAAAACAUAUAAAUAAUGAAAGUUUACUUACAAACCAAUCCGUGUCUACUAUGACUGUGUUAUUCAUAUCUACGUCAUCCAGUAAAUCCAGGGAACCUCGAAGUCUAUUUCUCAAGGUCAAGAAAUACAAGUCAAUAUCCUGCAACAAAGUUAAAAUCAAUAAGUUAGUAGACAAUAAUUUAACAAUGUUAAAAUCAAUAGAUUAUUUACCCCAGUUGUGAAUUCCUGGCUGACAUUAUCCACCCGCGCGAAGUCGUCGUACUCCCGCAAACCACCACUUGCCUUGACAUAAAUCUCACCA